GGUUACAAUGGUGGUGGUUGGUGGAGGUGGCUGCUGAAUUUUCAUCCACAAAACCUCGAACAUAAGACCGCGUCCACAAGAUCAUCAUCCACAAAACCUCUCUUCUGAUUGAUAUCUUUUUCUGUGUCCAUAUGAUAUCGUCCACAAGACCUCUAUGCCGAAUCUUCAUCCUCAAAACCUUGAACACGAAAUCUUUUGUCAGAUGAAAGAUAUUUUGAUAACUUUUCCAAGGUUCUCAGCCGUAGAAAACCGAGGCAACAACUGAUAUAUUCAUGUGGAAGAACAAGAAGAUUUAUGGUGGUGUACUCAUGGUGCUACAGAUGCUUGGGUUCUCUUAACCACAUCACUCUGUCCAAUAUUUUAUCUUCCAAAGUUCGAUAGGAUUAUGACAUUUUUAUCUUAUAUACAUGAUUUAUAGUAGUGAUAGUUACAUCUUGAGUUUACUUUAUUGUGCAAUCUUGUGUUAUAUGAAGUGUUGGAGAAAACGAAAGAUUGUGACAUACAUUUUGAACAAAGCGGAAGAAUCUUAUUCUGUAUUAGAUGAAGUUGAAGUAAUUUGUG
Long non-coding RNA from Raphanus sativus (radish), 561 nucleotides. RefSeq lists it as uncharacterized. Lineage: Eukaryota; Viridiplantae; Streptophyta; Magnoliopsida; Brassicales; Brassicaceae. The record is from RefSeq and is a predicted model, not a curated record. The transcript has 2 exons.